RNAcentral lists this long non-coding RNA (559 nucleotides) under Homo sapiens (human). Its description in RNAcentral is "HSALNT0251306". The record is from RNAcentral. Lineage: Eukaryota; Metazoa; Chordata; Mammalia; Primates; Hominidae.
UAAGAAACCAAACAUGGAACAGUGAGUCAGCUGAGAGAUUCGCAAGAGUAGGGAACUGCUACCAGCCCUAGCUGGAAGUGCAAAAGAAGGAGGUAAUGUUAUCUCAUCCCAGCAGCUGGGGUCACCUGGUAGACGUGGCAGCAUGGCAAAGCUGUCCAGAGCCAUGAAGAAAUAGCACCCCUAAAGAUGCAGCCUGAGGUGGAUACCCUGGCUUCUCCCUUGCUUCUAACCCACAAAUGACUCCCAUUGGCUGAAUUCAACUGUAGCCAACUGACACAGAAGCCUGGAAAACACAUCCUUCAGGAGUCGGCCACCCUGCAGCACAGAGGAGAGCAGAAGGCUGCGGAAUGGAUCAGAGCGCCAACAUGCCAAUAACCACCAUGGUGUUAUACACACUUUCCUGUACCUGCUUUUCUCAAUCACCAUUACCUUGGGAAAAUCCCAGCAAAUCAACAGAUGACUUUCUCCAUAUGGCAGCAAAGAUGCCUGCUGGAAGCUCCAGAGUCACAAUUUGAAUCAACAAACACAACAAAAAUAGAGUUUCUUUCUCCCAACAUCC